Molecule: ribosomal RNA, 29 nt
Filed under: Clusia liesneri
Lineage: Eukaryota; Viridiplantae; Streptophyta; Magnoliopsida; Malpighiales; Clusiaceae
Description: partial 18S ribosomal RNA
Source: RNAcentral
CCGUAGGUGAACCUGCGGAAGGAUCAUGG